Nelumbo nucifera (sacred lotus) is the source of this 943-nucleotide long non-coding RNA. RefSeq lists it as uncharacterized. Lineage: Eukaryota; Viridiplantae; Streptophyta; Magnoliopsida; Proteales; Nelumbonaceae. The record is from RefSeq and is a predicted model, not a curated record.
AACAUCAACCAUCUUGUUGUGACUUGCGAGAAGUUCAUAAAUUUUGUUUCAGAGAAAAAACAGUUUCAGACUGCUAAAUGGGUUCCCUAUGUUUCCAAGCAUCAGCAGGUGUCCCAUACUAAACCUAGUCGAAUCUCUCUUCCACGAUUCUCUCCUGAACUCCGACAUGAGCAUCGUCGAAGAAGAACUCCGUACAAAUCUCGUGUUUUCCGACAGCCGAAGGUAGGUUCAUCCCUCACAAAGAUGUCAGCUUUCCUCACCUCAACGACCAACAUCUUCACGCGCCGCCCGGCAAUGGAACUGCCAAGUACCUGGGCUACUUAAACCUAAACGGCAGCGGGGAUCAAAAUGGGAAGCUCGAAUCGACGUUCUCGAACGAAUUGCGUGGCGAUCCCCAGUUCCUGGUCGAAUCCGAGCCGUCUGAUCCCGCGUUGUAUGCGAAGGAGGCUAUCGAGCAGUAAGUUCUGCUUGUUUUUCUACGGAGGAAAUAUUUCAGGAAUCGGAGACGCGUUGCAGAUCAGUUGCGUGUCGGUGGUGAUUACGGAGCGUCCGAUUCUGGAUCUUCCGUUCAUGGACGUGCUGAGAUGGUCGGAGACCACGGUGUUUGUGGGGGCGGGAGGAGGGGUUGAGGGGAUGAAGAAGCAACUGGAUCGCACGUGCAAGAGAGAGAGAGACACGAGAGAAUGAAGAAUCUAGCCAUGGUGGCGAGUCAGCAUUUUGUUUGGAAUUCGUCCCCGCAGCCGAACGAUGCCUUCCACACGGUCAUGUAUCAGCUGUGGCUGAGACGGCAUACGAUUAGGUAUGCGAGAUGGGAAUCGAUUUGACGAGGGUGAUUUGAUUUGAACAGUAAAUGUAUGUAUUUGGAUUAUGAACAGAAAGAUAGAUGUUUCCAAUAAAUGUAAACAUAUUUCAACUUGAUUAUCUUCUCUCCAUUAAAGGUUCU